UACGAAGGGGGCUAGCGUUGUUCGGAAUUACUGGGCGUAAAGCGCGUGUAGGCGGGUCUUUAAGUCAGGGGUGAAAUGCCAAGGCUCAACCUUGGAACUGCCUUUGAUACUGGAGAUCUUGAGUCCGGGAGAGGUGAGUGGAAUUGCGAGUGUAGAGGUGAAAUUCGUAGAUAUUCGCAAGAACACCAGUGGCGAAGGCGGCUCACUGGCCCGAUACUGACGCUGAGGCACGAAAGCGUGGGGAGCAAACAGG
RNAcentral lists this ribosomal RNA (253 nucleotides) under uncultured bacterium. RNAcentral describes it as "partial 16S ribosomal RNA". It matches the Rfam family "Bacterial small subunit ribosomal RNA", at positions 524 to 776 of the family's 1533-position model. The record is from RNAcentral.